Molecule: ribosomal RNA, 433 nt
Filed under: uncultured bacterium
Lineage: Bacteria
Description: partial 16S ribosomal RNA
Rfam family: Bacterial small subunit ribosomal RNA
Source: RNAcentral
AACGAACGCUGGCGGCAUGCCUAACACAUGCAAGUCGAACGAGACCUUCGGGUCUAGUGGCGCACGGGUGCGUAACGCGUGGGAACCUGCCCUUAGGUUCGGAAUAACUCCCCGAAAGGGGUGCUAAUACCGGAUAAUGUCUUCGGACCAAAGAUUUAUCGCCUUUGGAUGGGCCCGCGUUGGAUUAGCUAGUUGGUAGGGUAAAAGCCUACCAAGGCGACGAUCCAUAGCUGGUCUGAGAGGAUGAUCAGCCACACUGGGACUGAGACACGGCCCAGACUCCUACGGGAGGCAGCAGUGGGGAAUAUUGGACAAUGGGCGAAAGCCUGAUCCAGCAAUGCCGCGUGAGUGAUGCAGGCCUUAGGGUUGUAAAGCUCUUUUACCCGGGAUGAUAAUGACAGUACCGGGAGAAUAAGCGCCGGCUAACUCCGUG